RNAcentral lists this ribosomal RNA (253 nucleotides) under uncultured bacterium. RNAcentral's name for it is "partial 16S ribosomal RNA". It matches the Rfam family "Bacterial small subunit ribosomal RNA", at positions 524 to 776 of the family's 1533-position model. The record is from RNAcentral.
UACGAAGGGGGCUAGCGUUGUUCGGAAUUACUGGGCGUAAAGGGCGUGUAGGCAGCUCACUAAGUCACGUGUGACAGCCCCGGGCUUAACCCGGGAAUUGCGCGUGAGACUGGUGAGCUAGAAUCCGGGAGAGGGUAGUGGAAUUCCCAGUGGAGAGGUGAAAGUCGUAGAUAGUGGGAAGAACACCAGUGGCGAAGGCGGCUACCUGGACCGGUAUUGACGCUAAGGCGCGAAAGCGUGGGGAGCAAACAGG